Molecule: long non-coding RNA, 1081 nt
Organism: Symphalangus syndactylus (siamang)
Lineage: Eukaryota; Metazoa; Chordata; Mammalia; Primates; Hylobatidae
Source: RefSeq, a predicted model, not a curated record
AGUGAGUUUUAACAACUAAACAGGCAUUCUCAGUAGUCCCAGAGGCUGAGAAUGGUCAAGGGAGCACUGAGCAGGUCACCUAUCAUAGCCCAGGAGAGCAUGAAGAAUGGGUUCUGGGUAAGCUUGCUGGAGGAGGAGACCUGUAACUUGAAGGAAGAGCAGGAGUUAGCCUGGUGAAGAGAAGGGUGGACCAUACACGUAAAUGCCCAGGGUAAGAGCGUGACAGGAAUAGGCAGACUGAAAAGCAUUAAGUCUGGAGUUAAGGAGAGCUCUGUUGGGAACGUCCUCACAACAUGGCAGCUGGCUUACCCCAGAGUGAAUGAUUAGAGAGAGAGCAAAGAUGCAGCCACAGUGUCUUUUAUAACUUAGCCUCAGAAGGGAUGUGCCAUUAUUUCCACCAUGCUCUAUCAGUCACUCAGACCAACUCUGAUAAAAUGUGUUCAGACCAACUCUGAUAAAAUGUGUUAGAGGACUACACAAGAUCAUGAAUAACAGGAAGCAAGGAUCAUUGGGAGUCAUCUCAAAGGCUGAUAAUGACAAACAGCGAAACGAAACUGAGACCAGAGAUUCAAGUUCAACAAACUGAGGCUGGUGGAUUUUCUGGGGGACAGUACCCAAGAGAUGGAAGCUACAUAAAGAGAAAGAGAAAGAGAAAUCUGCACAGUGAUCCCCUGGAGUUUCUGGCUGAAGGGCAGCCUGCCCAUGCAUAGGAACAAGCCCAACAAUUCUCAGAGCUCACGCAGAGCUGGGAACUGUUUGAGUUUCCACUAGCCAGAGUGGAGAGGCCUCAGUAAAUAUACCAGGUAUUUGGAAGACAAGCAGAAAGACCACACCACAGAAGCACUGCUAAGUUUGCCCUAGACAAAAGGCUACUGCAGAACCAUCCUAAAAGAACUUAACAAGAAAACUGGAAAGCAUCAAACUGACCCACAAGGAACUUAAAUGUCUACUAGAACAAAGUUGUUAAGGGACUACAACGCCCUCCAGCACUCAAAAAUGUGAAAUUCACAAUAUGCACUGACCAAACAAACAAAAAGCCUGCUUGGAUUCUGACUGGGAUUAAACUGAAUUUAUAGAUCAA